Salmo salar (Atlantic salmon) is the source of this 54-nucleotide non-coding RNA. The record is from Rfam. Lineage: Eukaryota; Metazoa; Chordata; Actinopteri; Salmoniformes; Salmonidae.
AUACUGUAUAUUUGUAAGUCGCUCUGGAUAAGAGCCUCUGCUAAAUGACGUAAA